This 464-nucleotide ribosomal RNA is filed under the name uncultured bacterium. RNAcentral describes it as "bacterial SSU rRNA". It matches the Rfam family "Bacterial small subunit ribosomal RNA", at positions 338 to 795 of the family's 1533-position model. The record is from RNAcentral.
CCUACGGGUCGCACCAGUGGGGAAUCUUGCGCAAUGGGCGAAAGCCUGACGCAGCGACGCCGCGUGAGUGAUGAAGGCCUUCGGGUUGUAAAGCUCUGUGGAGGGGGAAGAAUAAGGCAUGGCUAACAUCCAUGUCGAUGACGGUACCCCUUUAGCGAGCACCGGCUAACUCUGUGCCAGCAGCCGCGGUAAGACAGAGGGUGCAAACGUUGUUCGGAAUUACUGGGCGUAAAGCGCGUGUAGGCGGCUUGGCAAGUCGGGUGUGAAAGCCCUGGGCUCAACCUAGGAAGUGCACUCGAAACUGCUUCGCUUGAAUGCCGGAGAGGAAAGCGGAAUUCUCGGUGUAGAGGUGAAAUUCGUAGAUAUCGAGAGGAACACCGGUGGCGAAGGCGGCUUUCUGGACGGUGAUUGACGCUGAGACGCGAAAGCGUGGGGAGCAAACAGGAUUAGAUACCCGCGUAGUC